GACGAACGCUGGCGGCGUGCUUAACACAUGCAAGUCGAACGCUGAACCCGCUUCGGUGGGGGAUGAGUGGCGAACGGGUGAGUAACACGUGGGCAACCUGCCCCCGGCUCUGGGAUAACUCCAAGAAAUUGGGGCUAAUACCGGAUGUGACCGCUGGCCGCAUGGUCUGGUGGUGGAAAGGGUUUCCGGCUGGGGGUGGGCCCGGGGCCUAUCAGCUUGUUGGUGGGGUAGUGGCCUACCAAGGCGACGACGGGUAGCCGGCCUGAGAGGGUGACCGGCCACACGGGGACUGAGACAGGGCCCAGACUCCAACGGGAGGCAGCAGUGGGGAAUAUUGCGGAAUGGGCGGAAGCCUGACGAAGCGACGCCGGGUGGGGGAUGACGGCCUUCGGGUUGUAAACCUCUUUCAGCAGGGACGAAGCGCGAGUGACGGUACCUGCAGAAGAAGCACCGGCCAACUACGUG
This 465-nucleotide ribosomal RNA is filed under the name uncultured bacterium. RNAcentral's name for it is "partial 16S ribosomal RNA". It matches the Rfam family "Bacterial small subunit ribosomal RNA", at positions 28 to 507 of the family's 1533-position model. The record is from RNAcentral.